UACGGAGGGUGCGAGCGUUAAUCGGAAUUACUGGGCGUAAAGGGUGCGUAGGUGGUUUGAUAAGUUAUCUGUGAAAUCCCUGGGCUUAACCUAGGCAGGUCAGAUAAGACUGUUGGACUCGAGUAUGGGAGAGGGUAGUGGAAUUUCCGGUGUAGCGGUGAAAUGCGUAGAGAUCGGAAGGAACACCAGUGGCGAAGGCGGCUACCUGGCCUAAUACUGACACUGAGGCACGAAAGCGUGGGGAGCAAACAGG
RNAcentral lists this ribosomal RNA (253 nucleotides) under uncultured bacterium. Its description in RNAcentral is "partial 16S ribosomal RNA". It matches the Rfam family "Bacterial small subunit ribosomal RNA", at positions 524 to 776 of the family's 1533-position model. The record is from RNAcentral.